GGCCUGUUGGUCUAGAGGUAUGAUUCGCGCUUCGGAUAAUCAAUCCAUUCACCUGCAUGUGAAUAUGCAUGUGCGAGGUCCCGGGUUCGAUCCCCGGAUAGGCCC
Non-coding RNA from Pseudomassariella vexata, 105 nucleotides. NCBI's taxonomy places the organism in Eukaryota, Fungi, Ascomycota, Sordariomycetes, Amphisphaeriales, Pseudomassariaceae. The record is from the annotation of a RefSeq genome assembly.